AGAACGAACGCUGGCGGCAUGCCUAAUACAUGCAAGUCGAACGAAGGCUUCGGCCUUAGUGGCGCACGGGUGCGUAACGUGUGGGAAUCUGCCCCUUGGUUCGGAAUAACAGUUGGAAACGACUGCUAAUACCGGAUGAUGACGAAAGUCCAAAGAUUUAUCGCCAAGGGAUGAGCCCGCGUAGGAUUAGCUAGUUGGUGAGGUAAAGGCUCACCAAGGCGACGAUCCUUAGCUGGUCUGAGAGGAUGAUCAGCCACACUGGGACUGAGACACGGCCCAGACUCCUACGGGAGGCAGCAGUAGGGAAUAUUGGACAAUGGGCGAAAGCCUGGUCCAGCCAUGCCGCGUGUGUGAAGAAGGCCUUCGGGUUGUAAAGCACUUUUGUCCGGUAAAGAAAAGCGCUGGGUUAACACCC
Molecule: ribosomal RNA, 415 nt
Filed under: uncultured soil bacterium
Lineage: Bacteria
Description: bacterial SSU rRNA
Rfam family: Bacterial small subunit ribosomal RNA
Source: RNAcentral